Molecule: ribosomal RNA, 1556 nt
Filed under: Escherichia coli
Lineage: Bacteria; Pseudomonadati; Pseudomonadota; Gammaproteobacteria; Enterobacterales; Enterobacteriaceae
Description: bacterial SSU rRNA
Rfam family: Bacterial small subunit ribosomal RNA
Source: RNAcentral
UUAAAUUGAAGAGUUUGAUCAUGGCUCAGAUUGAACGCUGGCGGCAGGCCUAACACAUGCAAGUCGAACGGUAACAGGAAGCAGCUUGCUGCUUUGCUGACGAGUGGCGGACGGGUGAGUAAUGUCUGGGAAACUGCCUGAUGGAGGGGGAUAACUACUGGAAACGGUAGCUAAUACCGCAUAAUGUCGCAAGACCAAAGAGGGGGACCUUCGGGCCUCUUGCCAUCGGAUGUGCCCAGAUGGGAUUAGCUAGUAGGUGGGGUAACGGCUCACCUAGGCGACGAUCCCUAGCUGGUCUGAGAGGAUGACCAGCCACACUGGAACUGAGACACGGUCCAGACUCCUACGGGAGGCAGCAGUGGGGAAUAUUGCACAAUGGGCGCAAGCCUGAUGCAGCCAUGCCGCGUGUAUGAAGAAGGCCUUCGGGUUGUAAAGUACUUUCAGCGGGGAGGAAGGGAGUAAAGUUAAUACCUUUGCUCAUUGACGUUACCCGCAGAAGAAGCACCGGCUAACUCCGUGCCAGCAGCCGCGGUAAUACGGAGGGUGCAAGCGUUAAUCGGAAUUACUGGGCGUAAAGCGCACGCAGGCGGUUUGUUAAGUCAGAUGUGAAAUCCCCGGGCUCAACCUGGGAACUGCAUCUGAUACUGGCAAGCUUGAGUCUCGUAGAGGGGGGUAGAAUUCCAGGUGUAGCGGUGAAAUGCGUAGAGAUCUGGAGGAAUACCGGUGGCGAAGGCGGCCCCCUGGACGAAGACUGACGCUCAGGUGCGAAAGCGUGGGGAGCAAACAGGAUUAGAUACCCUGGUAGUCCACGCCGUAAACGAUGUCGACUUGGAGGUUGUGCCCUUGAGGCGUGGCUUCCGGAGCUAACGCGUUAAGUCGACCGCCUGGGGAGUACGGCCGCAAGGUUAAAACUCAAAUGAAUUGACGGGGGCCCGCACAAGCGGUGGAGCAUGUGGUUUAAUUCGAUGCAACGCGAAGAACCUUACCUGGUCUUGACAUCCACAGAACUUUCCAGAGAUGGAUUGGUGCCUUCGGGAACUGUGAGACAGGUGCUGCAUGGCUGUCGUCAGCUCGUGUUGUGAAAUGUUGGGUUAAGUCCCGCAACGAGCGCAACCCUUAUCCUUUGUUGCCAGCGGUCCGGCCGGGAACUCAAAGGAGACUGCCAGUGAUAAACUGGAGGAAGGUGGGGAUGACGUCAAGUCAUCAUGGCCCUUACGACCAGGGCUACACACGUGCUACAAUGGCGCAUACAAAGAGAAGCGACCUCGCGAGAGCAAGCGGACCUCAUAAAGUGCGUCGUAGUCCGGAUUGGAGUCUGCAACUCGACUCCAUGAAGUCGGAAUCGCUAGUAAUCGUGGAUCAGAAUGCCACGGUGAAUACGUUCCCGGGCCUUGUACACACCGCCCGUCACACCAUGGGAGUGGGUUGCAAAAGAAGUAGGUAGCUUAACCUUCGGGAGGGCGCUUACCACUUUGUGAUUCAUGACUGGGGUGAAGUCGUAACAAGGUAACCGUAGGGGAACCUGCGGUUGGAUCACCUCCUUACCUUAAAGAAGC